Molecule: long non-coding RNA, 1014 nt
Organism: Erinaceus europaeus (western European hedgehog)
Lineage: Eukaryota; Metazoa; Chordata; Mammalia; Eulipotyphla; Erinaceidae
Exons: 2
Source: RefSeq, a predicted model, not a curated record
GGGGGAGGCGGGAACCGAGCGGCCGAGGGUCACCUCCGCGGGCCCCCAAGCCGCAGGGUGGGAGAUGGGUGGGGACCAAGCAGGCAGGGACUCCUGACGGCGCUGCCGCCCUCUCCGUUCUCCCGAGAAGUUUCCCUCGCAGCACCCCCCCUGCCAUCUUGCUGACGUCAUCCAGGGCCCCGUCCCGCUGGUGUCCUGGGAGCCGCUCAGCCUCCACCCCAGCAGUUUUGCCCAGUAGAGUAGAGCCCAGUGAGGGUGGGCUGAGAGGAAACAACAAGUCUCAGCAGAGCAGAGAGUUUUGGGUUCAAACCUGGCGCUGGCAGGAGUAGCAAGAGGGCACCUUGAAAUCCUGACUCUUGACUUGAGUCUUGGUGGACCAAGACUCAGUCUCCCCUCUGGAGAGAAGGCCCAGCGUCACAGGGCUGUGGAGAAGUGGACAUGAACCAAACAUGCAGUAGGACGAAGGUUGUAAAGCCCCUGCCCAGGCUCUCCUGGGGGCCUCCAGCUGAGAAUGCGGGGCUCUUACACCAAGCAGAGCUGUCUGGUUGUGCAUCCUGGCCCCACAUAAACCCAUCCCCUGCUAUGGAUAAGCGUGGUGUGCCCCAGACACCAGUAAAUAAAGGUCCCCUAUGAAGGCCACUGCCUGACAAUCACCAGUGCCCUUCUGCCAGCACCCACACCAACUACCACUACCCACAGCACUGACAGUCCUGUGAGCAAAGUUGUACCCCUUCCUGCUGUAAGUCAGAAAAGUGUCCAGAGCAGAGGACUUGUAUCACCUGGGUGCCCACAAGCACUGGGUGGGCCCUGGCCAAGCUGUAACACAUGAGGAAAGGGUGUCUGUGCUAUCAUCUGGGCACUCAGGCCUCUAGGGAACUCUUCACAUUCACGACCCACUAGCAUCACCAGACCUCACCCAGCAGCCUCCAGCAGGGAGUGGGGAGAAGUCCAGAGCCCCAGGUUCUCUGAGAGCCAAGGACAUGGAACUAGGUCUGCAUGGUAUGUGUGUGCACA